GGGUAAGUGUAGCAAUACACCAAGACCGGCGGACGGGUGCGUAACGCGUAUGCAACUUACCUUAUACAGGGGGAUAGCCCGUGGAAACGCGGAUUAAUAUUCCAUAGUUCAAUGAUGUCGCAUGGCAUUAUUGGUAAAGCUGAGGCGGUAUAAGAUAGGCAUGCGUCUGAUUAGCUAGUUGGUAGGGUAAUGGCCUACCAAGGCGACGAUCAGUAGGGGUUCUGAGAGGAUAAUCCCCCACACUGGUACUGAGACACGGACCAGACUCCUACGGGAGGCAGCAGUGAGGAAUAUUGGUCAAUGGGCGAGAGCCUGAACCAGCCAUUCCGCGUGAAGGAAGAAGGCCUUAUGGGUUGUAAACUUCUUUUCUGUAAGAAGAACGGCCCCGACGUGUCGGGGUGUGACGGUAUUAUAGGAAUAAGCAUCGGCUAACUCCGUGCCAGCAGCCGCGGUAAUACGGAGGAUGCAAGCGUUAUCCGGAUUUAUUGGGUUUAAAGGGUGCGCAGGUGGUUUUAUAAGUCAGUGGUGAAAGUCUGGCGCUUAACGUUAGGAUUGCCAUUGAUACUGUAGGACUUGAGUAUGGAUGAGGUAGGCGGAAUGUGUAAUGGUAGCGGUGAAAU
RNAcentral lists this ribosomal RNA (620 nucleotides) under uncultured bacterium. RNAcentral's name for it is "bacterial SSU rRNA". It matches the Rfam family "Bacterial small subunit ribosomal RNA", at positions 66 to 687 of the family's 1533-position model. The record is from RNAcentral.